This 170-nucleotide small RNA is filed under the name Arabidopsis thaliana (thale cress). RNAcentral describes it as "ATSL006010". The record is from RNAcentral. Lineage: Eukaryota; Viridiplantae; Streptophyta; Magnoliopsida; Brassicales; Brassicaceae.
UAUUAAAACUUAAUAAAUUUAAAAGUUUUUUUUGUUUGGAGACGCACUAUUUACAUACAAAAUAUCCGUUUCUAUUUUUUGAGUACUUUUAGGGCCUGAAACUUUUUAUCCAAACUGACCUAAACCCAACUGGACGCGACCCGAACCGAAUAUUUAGAAUUAUUCUAUUA